Long non-coding RNA from Zonotrichia leucophrys gambelii, 812 nucleotides. RefSeq lists it as uncharacterized. NCBI's taxonomy places the organism in Eukaryota, Metazoa, Chordata, Aves, Passeriformes, Passerellidae. The transcript has 3 exons. The record is from RefSeq and is a predicted model, not a curated record.
UGUGAUGAGUCUCCCCUGUCUUGGGUGGUCAUGUUUUCCCACAGGAGCUGUGCAUUAGUGAGGGGGUAAAAUCACCAGAGAAGUUGUCAGGAAUGCAGUCUGGGUGAGCUGAGCAGGCUCCCAGCUUGGCAGAAAUGUUGAGUUGCUCUUUGCACUUGAGAUUGCUGAGUUUUCUGCAGAUGCACAUUCCCAGGUAUACCCUGUAGGAAAGGCAGAGACAACUUCUGCUGGUCAGAGAGACUUUUACCUAAAACUGUGAGGCUGAAAAUAUCCCAGACUAUAACUGUGGAGAAAAAUACAUCAGAAGAUGAAACACAGCAGAAGAUGCUUGGGGGAGAAGAGGAGCAAUCAGCAAUGUCAGUGAGGGCAAAGCCUGGCCAGCAAAGCCUCCUGCCUGAGGCUGAGAGGAAGGCAAGGAGGGAAGGAUCCAUUCCUGCAAAGAACCUGCUCAGGAUAUUGGCAGCCCUCAGCAUCAGAUAUUCACAAGUCAUCUGCUCAUAACUGAGGAAAACACAGAUAUAUUCAUUUUUUUUGCUGCUCUUGCCUACCGUGUUCCUCCUCACCUACCCUGCACCUCUUAACACAUGGGGACAAUCACCUUGCUGAUGUCCAACCCAUCUCCACACUGCCCAAAUGCUCCCAGUAGCUGGGAGUGUGACCUGCUGCAGCAAGACUCUGGAAACUUUACAGCACUUCUAAUCUUAUAUGAGGUACAUAUGUUCAAAUAUUACCACUCCUGGGACCAGAGUUGCUCCUGCCUCACAUAUUUCAUUCCCUUUGAUGCACAAGAGAGUCCCUGCACUGGGAGAAGC